AGAGCUUGCCUACUGCAGUGAGCGUGUUUUGCACGUGCGAGUUGUGCAGAAGCCACGUGACGAAGGUGACGUGGUGAGAUUGAAUGUGAGUUUAGCCAUUCGAGGUCUUCGCACUACACAGCGAGCAGCUUUUUUCAGUCAACAUUCUGCUAUGAGUCGCCAUUCGGUUUCCCCUUCACACCAUUCGGAGGAUUCUCAUACACCUAACAAGAAUAAGCAGCAGGAACCCAUUGAAGGUUAUGAAACAUUUCAAUUAUUUAAAGAUUAUAUGGACUGCAAACUAAAGACAUUUAAACGUGACAUUAUUGAAGAGAGUGAAGAAAGGUCAUUCUCAGCGUUCAAAAGGGCUCAUAAAGAUUCAGAGAUUCCUAAUUUUAGGUUUAAAGGCAACCAACUUCAGUAUAAAUUUAAUACUGGUUGUUUGGAUAAGAUUGACAGUGCUUUCAGAUAUAUUAAGAGCAGCAAGUAUUCUGAUUGUGUGGGGAUUCUCCAAGAUCUCUCUUCAGAUAUCUCGAGGAGGAACAAGUAUAUCCGCUUAGCGGAUCGUUCUCCAUCUGGCUGGGCCGUUGUAGCUGAACUAGAGGGAGACGAUAUUGCCUCUGGGUCCGAGGAAGAACGUAGAUUCGAGAAAGCUGAGAAUAAAGCCCUCCGUAAACGACGUGCGUCCUCGUUCCGGUCCAGAGGAAAACCUAGCUAUGUUUCACCUAGCGCUACUGUCUCUUCUGCUAGCAUGGUUGAUGCUUCUAGGGACUCUACAGCCGGUCAGAACCAGCCUUUUCGUCCCAUGGUCAAACGAGGUCCAUCUCCCAACCAACAGUGCUACUUCUGUGGAGGUUUCGGCCACUGGAGGAUCUCCUGUCCUGCGGCAGCUUUACUACGUGCAGCCCAGUCAGCCAGCUCCGAUUCAAUACAGUCCAACCAAGUUGUCAAGAAGUAGAGAAUUCACUUCAGGUAAUUGUGUUUCUGUAAUAUCUGAAGUUGUUCCUUUUAGUCAAUUGAACAGUGUGUAUCUUUCCUGAGAGAUUCUUUAAAAUUGUUUUAGGUCGAGUUUCUGCGGGAAGUUGCAGUUCCGAUGUUCAGGUGCCAGCAGUCCAUGAAACCAAGAUACGACAGAGGGAUGCUACCUGUGCUUCAGAUUUUGACAUUGAUAAUUCAGCAGGUUUAGGAGAUCGUGGGUACCGGAUACGGAGGCAGUUGAUGCAUUUACUCAGCAGUGGC
Molecule: unclassified non-coding RNA, 1218 nt
Filed under: Haliotis rubra (blacklip abalone)
Lineage: Eukaryota; Metazoa; Mollusca; Gastropoda; Lepetellida; Haliotidae
Description: uncharacterized LOC124257570, transcript variant X1
Source: RNAcentral